This 864-nucleotide unclassified non-coding RNA is filed under the name Hevea brasiliensis (rubber tree). The record is from RNAcentral. Lineage: Eukaryota; Viridiplantae; Streptophyta; Magnoliopsida; Malpighiales; Euphorbiaceae.
UCUGGAGAAGUCGGCGCAUACACGAAAGGCGAGGCUAGAUCUUCAACAGUUGAAGGAUCGGUCAAGUACAAAAACAUAUUUGGUUAUGGGGAUCUUUGGGAUGCCUCUUUGGCAUAUGGUGGUGACCACAUGGCUGAGGUAAGUUCUGGUGUGUAUUUGCCAAGAUUCAAAAGACUUGCUCCUGUGACGGCAAGAGUAUUCCUGCUAUCUCAAGAUUGGCUGAAAUUUUCUUCUUUCAAAGAACGAACAUUGGGCCUCUCUCUUGGCUUAGUUUCAAGCAGGAACCAUGAUUUGGUGUACAAUCUCUCAUGGCGCACUUUGACAGAUCCAUCACAAAUGGCAUCCAGGUCAAUAAGGAGGCAGCUUGGUCAUGGUCUGCUUUCAUCCUUGAAAUACACAUUUAAGAUUGACCGGAGAAAUUCACCUUUGAGGCCAACACAUGGAUAUGCUUUUGUUUCUACCACUCAAAUUGGUGGUCUUGCACCUGAUAGUCGGAGUAUACGGUUUUUGCGCCAGGAGCUUGAUCUUCGUUAUGCGGUCCCUCUUGGAUUUUUGCGUUCUGCACUCAACCUUGGGAUCUCUGGUGGUCUUAUUUUUCCAUGGGGAACUGGAUUCUUAAACAUGCCUUCUCCCCUACCAGAGAGAUUCUUCUUGGGUGGUAAUUUAUCUCCAAUUUGCACUUUGGGAGGUCCAAUAGCGUUAUAUGGGUUUAGUACAAGAGGACUGGGCCCCACUGAGCCUCGAAGGCAAUUGCAAAAUAAUCCAACUGAUGAUAGUUCUGAAUCUGGGAGAGAUUAUCUUGGAGGAGAUCUUGCUGUUACUGCUUUUGCAGAUUUUUCUUUUGAUUUUCCAUCCAAGUGGUGU